UGUAAACCUCUUUCAGCAGGGACGAAGCUGAAGUGACGGUACCUGCAGAAGAAGGACCGGCUAACUACAUGACACCAGCCGCGGUAAUAGGUACGGUGCGAGCGUUGUCCGGAUUUAUUGAGCGUAAUCAGAUCUUAUGCGGCUUGUCACGUCUGAUGUGAAAACCCUCAGCUUAACUUUGAACUUGCAGUCUAUACUGGCAGACUACAGGUAAGUAGGGGAGAAUUGAAUGUCUGGUGUAGAAGUGGAAUGCUCAUAUAUAAGGAAGAACACCGGUAGGGAAGGCGGAUCUCUGGGCCUGAACUGACGCUGAGGAACGAAAGCGUGGGGAGCGGACU
This 338-nucleotide ribosomal RNA is filed under the name uncultured bacterium. Its description in RNAcentral is "bacterial SSU rRNA". It matches the Rfam family "Bacterial small subunit ribosomal RNA", at positions 424 to 774 of the family's 1533-position model. The record is from RNAcentral.